RNAcentral lists this ribosomal RNA (372 nucleotides) under uncultured organism. RNAcentral describes it as "partial 16S ribosomal RNA". It matches the Rfam family "Bacterial small subunit ribosomal RNA", at positions 527 to 896 of the family's 1533-position model. The record is from RNAcentral.
GUAGGUGGCAAGCGUUGUCCGGAAUUAUUGGGCGUAAAGCGCGCGCAGGGCGGUCCUUUAAGUCUGAUGUGAAAGCCCACGGCUCAACCGUGGAGGGUCAUUGGAAACUGGGGGACUUGAGUACAGAAGAGGAAAGCGGAAUUCCAAGUGUAGCGGUGAAAUGCGUGGAGAUUUGGAGGAACACCAGUGGCGAAGGCGGCUUUCUGGUCUGUAACUGACGCUGAGGCGCGAAAGCGUGGGGAGCAAACAGGAUUAGAUACCCUGGUAGUCCACGCCGUAAACGAUGAGUGCUAAGUGUUAGGGGGUUUCCGCCCCUUAGUGCUGCAGCUAACGCAUUAAGCACUCCGCCUGGGGAGUACGGCCGCAAGGCUG